ACUUUUUAAAAAAGUCAUUUUAAGGUAGGUAAAAAUGUUAAUAAGUCACAUAGAAGAAGAGGAGCCCGGAUCAGUUAAAUAGUAAAAGGUGGAGAACCGCUGAAUUACCAGGAAAGAGCCUGGGCAUUUCCACAAUUAUCUAGCUGGUAAUCGACCUUUCCAGAACAUAUUAAUUUAUCAUCAAGGUGCUGUAGCUGAUUUUCAGCAAUCAGUUUCCACUUAUCAAGCUCCUACUAUGUUAGGCUUACAGGGUAUACAAUAAAAAGUAAGAUAGCCUCUGUCCAUAAAGCAGGAUGCACUAAUUAUUCUAAGUCAGGUAGAGAAACGGUGUUUCUGGCUGAGGAGGAAAAGCGAAUUGGGAAAUUUUUGCAAGGGGUAGAUAGCCUAAGAAUAUUUUGACAGCUGAAGGUGAGGGAAAGGACAUUCUAGCAGUAAAUAACUUGCUCUAAGUGUUAGAUGCAAAUUAGGAAGCGGUUUGGAAAAGGAGUACAGUAUUUCUAUUUGGCUUAAUAACAGUAAUUUGGUAUUAAUUCACAAUCAUUCCCACAGUGGUAAGGUCAAUCUCACAUGGGCAAAAAAUAUCCCUUACAGUAGACUUUUGGCUAUGCAACCCCUUCUUUCAAGAUUUCUCACUUGAUUUGCUGAGUUAAAGGCCAUAAACCCCACCCCCGAAAAACACACACCCACACAAAAUGUUUAGGGUAAACUCAUCUAAUUUAAGCCUAGAUUUCCUUCCAAUAUUUCUUACAAAUCGUGUUUUUUUUCCCUUCAAAUCAUCACACCUUUACUUUCGAAGGGCUGCCAGCAACCCAAACGUAUUAUCAUUUCCCCUAAUUUAGAAGAAAUUAGGGUGCUUUAUGCAGAGAAAGGAAAGCAAUCUCAAACAUGGUUAUACUCAUUUCCCUACUACUGCCCAAUACCAAUCUGUUUUCAACCUAGUAAUUCUACUUUACUCCUUCUUACUUGAUCAUGCCUUGGUUCAUGUUUUCUGCACUUGUAAGUCUCCAAUUUCUUCAUUUCAUCGAAUUAAUCCUAUCCACUCUCUAAGCCCAGCUCAUUUUCCACUUCCUCAAAGUGUUCUCUGUUGAGUCUAAAUCCACAUUUCCUUUGAGCUUCUACAGCACUUCAGGUCAGCAACAUUUCACACUCCAAUCGUCUCUGUAGGUUAGCAUAAUAUUACCAUCCAGGCUAAAAGUUCUUUGCUGACAGUGACCAUCUUUAGACUAUAGUGAAGUACUAGGCAUAGAAUAGGCACUUGGUACUAUUUUAAUUAAAAAAAUUUUUUUAAUGGCCACACCCAUGCCAUAUGGAAGUUCCCAGUCCAAGUAUUGCAUGCAAGCUGCAGCUGCAACCUACGCCUUAGUGGUUGAACCCAUUGACUGGAGCCACUGCAGUCGGAUUUUUAAAACUACUGUGCCACAGCAGGAACCUCUAAUAAUUAUUUUUGAUGAAAUUAAAUUAUAUUCACUCUUAGUCACAGAAUUUGAAACCUCAAAUUAUCACCACCUCAGAUUUUCACACUAUUUAAAAAUAAGAUUUGCACAUGAAUAAAACUGCCCUACUGUACUGUGGUGGAGAAACUAACAUACAUUUACACAUAUAACAUACAUUUAUGUAUAUGACAUAAUCAUGAUCAAAAACAGUAGCCAUUCUUGAUUCUCUACUCACUUUUUGUGUGUGUGUGUGUGUGUGUGUGUGUGUGUGUCUUUUUGCUAUUUCUUUGGGCCGCUCCAGCGGCAUAUGGAGGUUCCCAGGCUAGGGGUCAAAUCAGAGCUGCAGCCGCCGGGCUACGCCAGAGCCACAGCAACGCGGGAUCCGACCCGCGUCUGCAACCUACACCACAGCUCACGGCAACGCCGGAUCAUUAACCCACUGAGCAAGGGCAGGGACCGAACCCGAAACCUCAUGGUUCCUAGUCGGAUUCGUUAACCACUGCGCCACGACGGGAACUCCUCUAGUCACUUCUGAUCCAAUUUUGGCAGUAGGAGAGAUUUGGCUUUGCUUACAACCAACGGAUUAUAACUGAAGGAUUUGUAAUUCAAAUCCUUCAGAGUAUACACCUUUAAAGUGUGUUGUCAAAUCGUGAAUACAAUAUAAUUUUGUUCAGUUUGAAAUAAAGUGAAAUUUGAUGAGAGAAAACUGGAAUUCUUCAAAUUGAAUCCUUAGUUAACCUGAAUUUGUCUUGCGCUCUAAGAAAAAAGUCAAUUUUAAGAAAAAUUACAAUCAAACACUCUCUGGAUUUUAUGGCUUAAAACACAUUGAACAUAACUCUUAAAAUUUCUAUACCUAUUAUUACAUAAUAUAUGACGAUAUAACUCAGUUUCUAUACCUAUUAUUACAUGACUUGAUAAUAAAUGCUCACAUAAAAUUUAAUGAUAUUCAGCAUACUGUUUAAUAUACUGAAAAUUAUAAUUUUUAUUAAUAUUUUAGAAAAUAUUCAAACGAGGUUUAAGAUCAUUGUAAACUUCAGUUAACUAAAUUAUCUAGUACUCCAUAUUGUCCCAUUAAUUCAAUUAAAUGCUUUAUCUGAUAAACAUUUUAAAGUUUCUUAUUUUUCAUUUACAGUGAGUGCCUCUCCUCCAACUUUCUGUGGGGGUUGUUUUCCUUUUUGUUGACUGUGUCUCAUACAGUCAAGCUGACAGUUUGACAAAAGAGUAGGAAUUUUUUCUAAAUCUAAAAUUUUUUUCUAAAAUGGAAAGUUAAAUACGUAACAUCCCAAAUUCUAAGGUGAUAAAUGAGGUUUCCAUAUAAAUUUGUAAGUUCAACUUUUCACCUUUGCUUUAAUCAAAAUAAUUAGUACACAGAAUUAUUCACAAAAUGAAUACAUUGGAGGCUGACUCCGUUCUAGGAUUAUAAAAACUGGGGACAAUACAGAUCCAAAUUCAAUCUCUUACAGUUUAAAACUAAUACUUGGAAAGAGUAACUUGCUUAAGUUGACACAACUUUUAGCAAAGCCAGUUUUUAAGUAUUUGAAUAUGACCACAUCUAACUUCUCUAGAAUAGAAACAAUUUUGAGCAUUUGUUUAUACUGUUAUUCCUCUGGCAAAGUAGCCAAGCUACCUAAACAAUUCUUUAGGGUAAUAUUUGCAAACAUGAAUUUUAUUAUACUGAAUUAUAACUUUUUGUUAUGCUUCAUUUCAUGGUCUUCUAAGCCAGUGGGAAAGCUUAAACUUCUCUUACAUGCUCAAUUGUUAUCUAAAUAAAAUGCAUUUUGAUGACAUUGAAGAGACUGGUAUCAGGGGCAAAUGCCUCUGAACAAAGUGACUUCUUGUAUGAAUAAAUGGCUGUACACGCAUUACUGAAUGAGAUUCAAGUGAUGGACGUUUCAUUGUCUGAUACUUUAAAAGUGAGGUCAAAAUGAUAGAACAAAAUUUACAGAUUCUCAUGUUUAGAAUCAUCAAAUUAAUCUAAUGACCAUCUUCAGUUUUAUUUUAUAUUAUUUGAUCUUCUACAUUAUUCUUAAUUUUUUUUUUUUUGUCUUUUUGCCAUUUCUUGGGCCGCUCCCGCAGCAUAUGGAGGUUCCCAGGCUAGGGGUCCAAUCGGAGCUGUAGCCACUGGCCUACGCCAGAGCCACAGCAACGCGGGAUCCGACCCGCGUCUACACCACAGCUCACGGCAACGCUGGAUCGUCAACCCACUGAGCAAGGGCAGGGACCGAACCCACAACCUCAUGGUUCCUAGUCGGAUUCGUUAACCACUGUGCCAUGACGGGAGCUCCUAUUCUUAAUUCUUAUAUGCUUUUUUUUUUGGUCUUUUUAGGGCUGCACCCGUGGCAUAUGGAAGUUCCCAGGCUUAGGGGUCUAAUUGGAGCUGCAGCCGCAGGCCUAUGCCACAGCCACAGCAAUGGGGGAUCCAAGCCAUGUCUUCAAAUUACACCACAGCUCACGGCCACACUGGAUCCUUAAUCCAUUGAGAGGCCGGGGAUCAAACCCCAAACCUCAUGGUUACUAGUCAGAUUUGUUCCUACUGCACCACAACGGGAACUCUGAGAAAUUUCAUCUUUUCAACUAUGAGAAAGUAUAUAUAAAAUAUUGAAUAUUAAAAGUAAACACUUUGAAAACACAGAAAAGGUUGUAAACUUAAGUCUUCUGAUAAAAGAAUUCUAAAAAUUCUGACUUACUACCAUGUUAAGUAAAUCAGAUUUGUUAAUUCAGUAUCAACUUAAAUGUUUAUUGGAUAUCUACUAUGUGUCAGGAAAGUAUUCAAUUUAAUUUUAAUGUCCUUACUAAAAUUGUGUUACUUGAACUACAUUAAAUGUCACAAAUUAUAAAUUUACACAACCCAUACAUGAAUAAAUAAAAAUUAUGAAAAUUUAAACAGCACAAUUUCAUUUAAAAAUUGUCGUACUAAGACAGGAAGUGAAACAAGAUGAAAAGUAAGCUUAGCCAAAAAAAAAAAAAAAAGAAAUUUCUAAUAACUUUAGACCUCUCCAUCAUGAGUAAUUAUGUGGGCAGCCCUAGAUUGAAGAUGAGGUUAUAAGACGAUUUCAUCAUUCUCAUGCUUUCUUUUGCAGGUCUCUGGAUAAAUUCUAUCAAGCAGUUACCUAUUUAAAGCUAAGUGUUGAUACUGUGCUAUGUGUUGUAUUUAGAAUCCUGAUGUCAAAAUCCUACACUAAUGCAAUGAUAUAUUUCAGGCUUUUUCCUUGUUUAAAAAAGAGGGUGAUCAGUAUUACGGGCAGUAGCAGUUAAUUUUAGAAAACAUUUUGAAAAUAAAAAUCUUUGAGUAGCAAAUAUCAGGUAUACGACCAAGGAACACAUUUUUAAAUUAUAGAACUCCCAACUGUUUUAUUAACAGGUAGGUCAUGCCUAGUUUGGGAGGCAUUAACUAUGAAGAGCAUUAAGAGGCCACCAGGUGAAAUUGAUCAGAAAGCCAGCAGAGUACUGAGUUAAUUUGGGAACUUCAAGCUGGAAUUCAGAAGCCAGAUGAUUU
This 4929-nucleotide long non-coding RNA is filed under the name Sus scrofa (pig). Its description in RNAcentral is "lncRNA (ENSSSCG00045017579.1)". The record is from RNAcentral. Lineage: Eukaryota; Metazoa; Chordata; Mammalia; Artiodactyla; Suidae.